This is a long non-coding RNA of Sebastes umbrosus (honeycomb rockfish), 656 nucleotides long. RefSeq lists it as uncharacterized. The transcript has 2 exons. The record is from RefSeq and is a predicted model, not a curated record. Lineage: Eukaryota; Metazoa; Chordata; Actinopteri; Perciformes; Sebastidae.
UAUAGGACUUAAGCCUGUUUUAUAAUACAACAUGAAAAUCUCACUUUUUAUAAUAUGGGACCUUUAAGGUGUAUUGACAAUAUUAUAUGUUUUUAUUUAAGUGUUAAGUUAUACUGUAUAUUUCAAUAUGGACCUUGGGAGGAGUAAUUGUUGGCGAGGGGUCUGUAACUGAGAACAUCUUCUUCCAGCUGAAGCACUGGGACCUCAGUUUUUUCUCAAGGCAGAGUAAAAGUAGCUGUCUAGAAAAUUAAUCAAGCAAAGGCAAGAAUAGCUCACUAAAAAUACCCAAAGACCAAGUAACAGUUGAGCCUGUACAGUUUAGAGUAGCCUCUGCUCCUAAAAUCCUCUCAGCUGAAUAUAACAGACUGUCUGUCCUUCCUGCAUGAUGGAUGAGCCCUCAGACAGCAGCAGUAAAUACUGUUUUAUUUUACUGCAAAGACACUGACUGAUGUGAUCCUCAGGGUUUUGUCCUCCUCACCGUGUAAUCGCCCAUUAUUCCUGAAUACACCAGGAGGUUGCAGGCUGUCAGCAGAGCAGCUUCCAUGAAAGACAAAACUGGAUGCACAUCUUACUAUCAGUGAAAGAAAAUGAACCCCCAACAAUUUUCCUAAUCGAUUAAUUGUUUGAGUCAUUAAUUAAGCAAGAAUGCCAAAAUA